This 332-nucleotide unclassified non-coding RNA is filed under the name plant metagenome. Its description in RNAcentral is "partial contains 5.8S ribosomal RNA, internal transcribed spacer 2, and large subunit ribosomal RNA". The stretch from base 1 to 105 matches the Rfam family "5.8S ribosomal RNA", at positions 50 to 154 of the family's 154-position model. The record is from RNAcentral.
GAAAUGCGAUAACUAAUGUGAAUUGCAGAAUUCCGUGAAUCAUCGAGUCUUUGAACGCACAUUGCGCGCCCUGGUAUUCCGGGGGGCAUGCCUGUCCGAGCGUCAUUGCUGCCCAUCAAGCACGGCUUGUGUGUUGGGUCGUCGUCCCCCCAUCACUAGGGGGGACGGGCCCGAAAGGCAGCGGCGGCACCGCGUCCGGUCCUCGAGCGUAUGGGGCUUUGUCACCCGCUCUGCAGGCCCGGCUGGCGCUGGCCGACGCUAAACAACUUUUUUUUUUUUUGUUCCUAAAAGGUUGACCUCGGAUCAGGUAGGGAUACCCGCUGAACUUAAGC